RNAcentral lists this ribosomal RNA (473 nucleotides) under uncultured bacterium. RNAcentral's name for it is "bacterial SSU rRNA". It matches the Rfam family "Bacterial small subunit ribosomal RNA", at positions 220 to 692 of the family's 1533-position model. The record is from RNAcentral.
CGGGGAUGGGCCUGCGUCGGAUUAGCUAGUUGGUAGGGUAACGGCCUACCAAGGCGACGAUCCGUAGCUGGUCUGAGAGGAUGAUCAGCCACACUGGCACUGAGACACGGGCCAGACUCCUACGGGAGGCAGCAGUGAGGAAUAUUGGGCAAUGGGCGCAAGCCUGACCCAGCCACGCCGCGUGGAGGAAGACACCCCUAUGGGGCGUAAACUCCUUUUGUGCGAGAAGAAAGCGCCGGUUUCCGGCGUCUGACGGUAUCGCACGAAUAAGCACCGGCUAACUCCGUGCCAGCAGCCGCGGUAAUACGGAGGGUGCAAGCGUUGUCCGGAAUCACUGGGUGUAAAGGGUGUGUAGGCGGGGCUGUAAGUCAGAGGUGAAAUCCCACGGCUCAACCGUGGAACUGCCUUUGAUACUGCAGCUCUUGAGUCCCGGAGAGGUGGCUGGAAUUCGUGGUGUAGCGGUGAAAUGCGUA